UACGUAGGGGGCAAGCGUUGUCCGGAAUCAUUGGGCGUAAAGCGCGCGUAGGCGGCUCGUUAAGUCCGCUGUGAAAGUCCAGGGCUCAACCCUGGAAUGCCGGUGGAUACUGUCGAGCUCGAGUCCGGAAGAGGCGAGUGGAAUUCCUGGUGUAGCGGUGGAAUGCGCAGAUAUCAGGAAGAACACCGAUGGCGAAGGCAGUUCGCUGGGACGGUACUGACGCUGAGGCGCGAAAGCGUGGGGAGCAAACAGG
Molecule: ribosomal RNA, 253 nt
Filed under: uncultured bacterium
Lineage: Bacteria
Description: partial 16S ribosomal RNA
Rfam family: Bacterial small subunit ribosomal RNA
Source: RNAcentral